AUUCCAGCUCCAAUAGCGUAUACUAAAGUUGUUGCAGUUAAAAAGCUCGUAGUUGAAUUUCUGGCCUCGGACAGCGGUCUGCCUCAAACGAGGUACGCACCACCUGCUCAGGUCCAUCCUCGGAGAAAACAUGCCUGUGAUUCAGUUCAUGGGUAUGGGAUCUUCGUCAUUUACUGUGAGCAAAAUAUAGUGUUCAAAGCAGGCUUAUGCCGUUGAAUACAUUAGCAUGGAAUAAUAAAAUAAGACCUUGGUCUAUUUUGUUGGUUUGUACUCCAAGGUAAUGAUUAAUAGGGAUAGUUGGGGGUAUUCGUAUUCAAUUGUCAGAGGUGAAAUUCUUGGAUUUAUGGAAGACGAACUACUGCGAAAGCAUUUACCAAGGAUGUUUUCAUUG
RNAcentral lists this ribosomal RNA (391 nucleotides) under Chrysophyceae sp. Its description in RNAcentral is "partial small subunit ribosomal RNA". It matches the Rfam family "Eukaryotic small subunit ribosomal RNA", at positions 582 to 975 of the family's 1831-position model. Lineage: Eukaryota; Chrysophyceae. The record is from RNAcentral.